This 253-nucleotide ribosomal RNA is filed under the name uncultured bacterium. RNAcentral's name for it is "partial 16S ribosomal RNA". It matches the Rfam family "Bacterial small subunit ribosomal RNA", at positions 524 to 776 of the family's 1533-position model. The record is from RNAcentral.
UACAGAGGGUGCAAGCGUUGUCCGGAAUUAUUGGGCGUAAAGCGCGUGUAGGCGGCUUUGCAAGUCGGGUGUGAAAGCCCCGGGCUCAACCUGGGAAGUGCACUCGAAACUGCUUGGCUGGAGUACUGGAGAGGGAAGCGGAAUUCUCGGUGUAGAGGUGAAAUUCGUAGAUAUCGAGAGGAACACCGGUGGCGAAGGCGGCCAACUGGACGAAUACUGACGCUGAGACUCGAAAGCGUGGGGAGCAAACAGG